RNAcentral lists this unclassified non-coding RNA (87 nucleotides) under Pseudomonas psychrophila. The record is from RNAcentral. Lineage: Bacteria; Pseudomonadati; Pseudomonadota; Gammaproteobacteria; Pseudomonadales; Pseudomonadaceae.
UGUGGGAGCGGGCUUGCUCUCGAUGCAGGCGCCGCGGUUUAUCUGGAUAACCGCGUCGAUCCAAUCGCGAGCAAGCCCGCUCCCACA